This 487-nucleotide ribosomal RNA is filed under the name uncultured bacterium. RNAcentral describes it as "bacterial SSU rRNA". It matches the Rfam family "Bacterial small subunit ribosomal RNA", at positions 28 to 507 of the family's 1533-position model. The record is from RNAcentral.
GACGAACGCUGGCGGCGUGGAUUAGGCAUGCAAGUCGAACGGUAUCAUCCUUUCGGGGGUGAGAGAGUGGCGAACUGGUGAGUAACACGUAGGUUAUCUACCCUCAAGACGGGGACAACCCAGGGAAACUUGGGCUAAUACCGGAUGUGAGCAACUUUUAGUUGUUUGAAAGGUGGCGUAAGCUGUCGCUUGGGGAUGAGCCUGCGUCCUAUUAGUUAGUUGGUGAGGUAACGGCUCACCUAGGCAAUGAUAGGUAGGCGGCCUUAACGGGUGGUCGCCCACACUGGGAUUGAGAUACGGCCCAGACUCCUACGGGAGGCAGCAGUCGAGAAUAGUCUACAAUGGUCGAAAGACUGAUAGUGCGACGCCGCGUGAACGAAGAAGCCCUUCGGGGUGUAAAGUUCUUUUAUAUGUGAGCAGUGGGUUCCAUAUGAAUAGUAUGGGAUCAGAGAUAUUAGCAUAUGAAUAAGCAACGGCUAACUCCGUG